This 497-nucleotide ribosomal RNA is filed under the name uncultured bacterium. RNAcentral's name for it is "partial 16S ribosomal RNA". It matches the Rfam family "Bacterial small subunit ribosomal RNA", at positions 28 to 507 of the family's 1533-position model. The record is from RNAcentral.
GAUGAACGCUGGCGGCGUGCCUAAUACAUGCAAGUCGAGCGAACAGAUGAGGAGCUUGCUCCUCUGACGUUAGCGGCGGACGGGUGAGUAACACGUGGAUAACCUACCUAUAAGACUGGGAUAACUUCGGGAAACCGGAGCUAAUACCGGAUAAUAUAUUGAACCGCAUGGUUCAAUAGUGAAAGACGGUUUUGCUGUCACUUAUAGAUGGAUCCGCGCCGCAUUAGCUAGUUGGUAAGGUAACGGCUUACCAAGGCAACGAUGCGUAGCCGACCUGAGAGGGGGAUCGGCCACACUGGAACUGAGACACGGUCCAGACUCCUACGGGAGGCAGCAGUAGGGAAUCUUCCGCAAUGGGCGAAAGCCUGACGGAGCAGCGCCGCGUGAGUGAUGAAGGUCUUCGGAUCGUAAAACUCUGUUAUUAGGGAAGAACAAAUGUGUAAGUAACUAUGCACGUCUUGACGGUACCUAAUCAGAAAGCCACGGCUAACUACGUG